RNAcentral lists this ribosomal RNA (254 nucleotides) under uncultured bacterium. Its description in RNAcentral is "partial 16S ribosomal RNA". It matches the Rfam family "Bacterial small subunit ribosomal RNA", at positions 524 to 776 of the family's 1533-position model. The record is from RNAcentral.
UACGGGGGGGAGCAAGCGUUGCUCGGAUUUACUGGGCGUAAAGGGCGCGUAGGCGGCGUGACAAGUCACUUGUGAAAUCUCCGGGCUUAACUCGGAACGGUCAAGUGAUACUGUCGUGCUAGAGUACAGAAGGGGCAACUGGAAUUCUCGGUGUAGCGGUGAAAUGCGUAGAGAUCGGCAGGAACACCCAGGGGGAAACCAGUCGACUGGGCAUCUACUGACGCUGAGGUGCGAGAGCGUGGGGAGCAAACAGG